Molecule: unclassified non-coding RNA, 384 nt
Filed under: soil metagenome
Description: partial contains 5.8S ribosomal RNA, internal transcribed spacer 2, and large subunit ribosomal RNA
Rfam family: 5.8S ribosomal RNA (bases 1-120)
Source: RNAcentral
GAUGAAGAACGUAGCGAAAUGCGAUAAGUAAUGUGAAUUGCAGAAUUCAGUGAAUCAUCGAAUCUUUGAACGCACCUUGCACCCUUUGGCAUUCCGAAGGGUAUGCUCGUUUGAGUGUCAUUGUACUCUCACUCUCCCGAUGCUUUUGGAUCGGGAGUGGUGGACUUGGGUGUUGCUGCUUUGCUGUGGCUCGCCCCAAAUGGAGUAGUGCAACUCUUGGUUGGACAUAGUACGGCGUGAUAAGUGUCUUCGCCGGCGCCUCAUUAUAGAGGGUGGCCGAUCGGGAGCUCUGUGCUUCAAACCGUCUUCGGACAACAUCUGACAACUUGACCUCAAAUCGAGUAGGACUACCCGCUGAACUUAAGCAUAUCAAUAAGCGGAGGA